RNAcentral lists this ribosomal RNA (500 nucleotides) under uncultured bacterium. Its description in RNAcentral is "partial 16S ribosomal RNA". It matches the Rfam family "Bacterial small subunit ribosomal RNA", at positions 30 to 523 of the family's 1533-position model. The record is from RNAcentral.
AUUGAACGCUGGCGGCAGGCCUAACACAUGCAAGUCGAGCGGAUGAGGAAAGCUUGCUUUUCGAUUCAGCGGCGGACGGGUGAGUAAUGCCUAGGAAUCUGCCUGUUAGUGGGGGAUAACUCGGGGAAACUCGGGCUAAUACCGCAUACGUCCUACGGGAGAAAGUGGGGGAUCUUCGGACCUCACGCUAACAGAUGAGCCUAGGUCGGAUUAGCUAGUAGGUGAGGUAAUGGCUCACCUAGGCGACGAUCCGUAACUGGUCUGAGAGGAUGAUCAGUCACACUGGAACUGAGACACGGUCCAGACUCCUACGGGAGGCAGCAGUGGGGAAUAUUGGACAAUGGGCGAAAGCCUGAUCCAGCCAUGCCGCGUGUGUGAAGAAGGUCUUCGGAUUGUAAAGCACUUUAAGUUGGGAGGAAGGGUAUUCACCUAAUACGUGGGUACUUUGACGUUACCAACAGAAUAAGCACCGGCUAACUCUGUGCCAGCCGCCGCAGUAA